GACGAACGCUGGCGGCGUGCUUAACACAUGCAAGUCGAACGAAGAGCGAUAGAAGCUUGCUUCUAUCAAUCUUAGUGGCGCACGGGUGAGUAACGCGUAAUCAACCUGCCCUUCAGAGGGGGACAACAGUUGGAAACGACUGCUAAUACCGCAUACGAUCUAAUCUCGGCAUCGAGGAUAGAUGAAAGGUGGCCUCUACAUGUAAGCUAUCACUGAAGGAGGGGAUUGCGUCUGAUUAGCUAGUUGGAGGGGUAACGGCCCACCAAGGCGAUGAUCAGUAGCCGGUCUGAGAGGAUGAACGGCCACAUUGGGACUGAGACACGGCCCAGACUCCUACGGGAGGCAGCAGUGGGGAAUCUUCCGCAAUGGACGAAAGUCUGACGGAGCAACGCCGCGUGAGUGAUGACGGCCUUCGGGUUGUAAAGCUCUGUUAAUCGGGACGAAAGGCCUUCUUGCGAAUAGUGAGAAGGAUUGACGGUACCGGAAUAGAAAGCCACGGCUAACUACGUG
This 510-nucleotide ribosomal RNA is filed under the name uncultured bacterium. RNAcentral describes it as "partial 16S ribosomal RNA". It matches the Rfam family "Bacterial small subunit ribosomal RNA", at positions 28 to 507 of the family's 1533-position model. The record is from RNAcentral.